AGUGAACGCUGGCGGCAGGCCUAACACAUGCAAGUCGAACGGCAGCACAAGAGCGCUUGCUCUCUGGGUAGCGAGUGGCGGACGGGUGAGGAAUGCAUCGGAAUCUGCCCAUUUGUGGGGGAUAACCUCGGGAAACCGGGACUAAUACCGCAUACGACCUACGGGUGAAAGCAGGGGAUCUUCGGACCUUGCGCAGAUGGAUGAGCCGAUACCGGAUUAGCUAGUUGGAGGGGUAAAGGCCCACCAAGGCGACGAUCCGUAGCUGGUCUGAGAGGAUGAUCAGCCACACUGGGACUGAGACACGGCCCAGACUCCUACGGGAGGCAGCAGUGGGGAAUAUUGGACAAUGGGCGCAAGCCUGAUCCAGCCAUGCCGCGUGUGUGAAGAAGGCCUUCGGGUUGUAAAGCACUUUUGUUGGGAAAGAAAAGCAGCCGGUUAAUACCCGGUUGUCAUGACGGUACCCAAAGAAUAAGCACCGGCUAACUUCGUG
RNAcentral lists this ribosomal RNA (490 nucleotides) under uncultured bacterium. Its description in RNAcentral is "partial 16S ribosomal RNA". It matches the Rfam family "Bacterial small subunit ribosomal RNA", at positions 29 to 507 of the family's 1533-position model. The record is from RNAcentral.